This 971-nucleotide ribosomal RNA is filed under the name Acinetobacter sp. NF271. Its description in RNAcentral is "bacterial SSU rRNA". It matches the Rfam family "Bacterial small subunit ribosomal RNA", at positions 66 to 1029 of the family's 1533-position model. The record is from RNAcentral. Lineage: Bacteria; Pseudomonadati; Pseudomonadota; Gammaproteobacteria; Moraxellales; Moraxellaceae.
GCGGGCGAGGUUGCUUCGGUAACUGAGCUAGCGGCGGACGGGUGAGUAAAGCUUAGGAAUCUGCCUAUUAGUGGGGGACAACAUUCCGAAAGGGAUGCUAAUACCGCAUACGUCCUACGGGAGAAAGCAGGGGAUCACUUGUGACCUUGCGCUAAUAGAUGAGCCUAAGUCGGAUUAGCUAGUUGGUGGGGUAAAGGCCUACCAGGGCGACGAUCUGUAGCGGGUCUGAGAGGAUGAUCCGCCACACUGGGACUGAGACACGGCCCAGACUCCUACGGGAGGCAGCAGUGGGGAAUAUUGGACAAUGGGGGGAACCCUGAUCCAGCCAUGCCGCGUGUGUGAAGAAGGCCUUUUGGUUGUAAAGCACUUUAAGCGAGGAGGAGGCUUACCUGGUUAAUACCUGGGAUAAGUGGACGUUACUCGCAGAAUAAGCACCGGCUAACUCUGUGCCAGCAGCCGCGGUAAUACAGAGGGUGCGAGCGUUAAUCGGAUUUACUGGGCGUAAAGCGCGCGUAGGUGGUUAAUUAAGUCAAAUGUGAAAUCCCCGAGCUUAACUUGGGAAUUGCAUUCGAUACUGGUUAGCUAGAGUAUGGGAGAGGAUGGUAGAAUUCCAGGUGUAGCGGUGAAAUGCGUAGAGAUCUGGAGGAAUACCGAUGGCGAAGGCAGCCAUCUGGCCUAAUACUGACACUGAGGUGCGAAAGCAUGGGGAGCAAACAGGAUUAGAUACCCUGGUAGUCCAUGCCGUAAACGAUGUCUACUAGCCGUUGGGGGAUUUGAUCCUUUAGUGGCGCAGCUAACGCGAUAAGUAGACCGCCUGGGGAGUACGGUCGCAAGACUAAAACUCAAAUGAAUUGACGGGGGCCCGCACAAGCGGUGGAGCAUGUGGUUUAAUUCGAUGCAACGCGAAGAACCUUACCUGGCCUUGACAUAGUAGAGACUUUCCAGAGAUGGAUUGGUGCCUUCGGGAAUCU